UGCGGGCUUCGGCCCCAGGCCGGCCCGGCCCUACGGAUGCAGGCUUCCCUUGGGAGCGCGUCCUGCCCACCCGAGUGGGCAGUGGGCCUCGUCCCGGCUCGGAAACGGAUUUACCCAGGAAGGCAGUUGUACUUAAAUUCACUAUAUUUUAAAAAGAGGUUCAUCGGGGUGUGAUGACACACCCCUGUAAUCCUAGCACUUGGGAGGCUGAGGCAGGAGGAUCACCAUGAAUUCGAGGCCAGACUGUACUACAAAGUGAGUUCAUUAUAUGUUUCUAUGUUAUGUAAUCACUGUAAGAGAAAUUAUUAGAGGUUUUAGGGUAGGUAGUAAAUAUUAAACUUGUAUAAACUCCCAAACAAGUUAUUUUGCAAGUUUUAAAUAAGAAACUUUGACUGUCCCCAUACCAAACAACAACAACAAAACAACAAAAAAAGAAUCUUUGAGCUUCCAGGAGCAUAAUUUUUUUUAAUAUUAGGUUUUAUGCUUGAAAUGGACAUGCAAUUCCUGAUCAAGACUUUAUAAUGGAAGUCUGGGGAUGUAGCUCAGUAGUAUAGCUCUUACCUAGCAUGUGCGAGGCCCUGGGUUCAAUUCUUAACACGAGAAAAAGUGUGUGUGCGUGAGUGAGGGAGGGGAGGAAGAAGAAGGAGAAAAAGAAAGGAAAAAUAUCUCUUCAAAGUUUUGAUUACUCCCAUUAUUAGACUUUGCUCACAUAAGUAGGUGAUAGGUCAAAAUCAUUUUUCUAAUCAUUCAAAACAAAACAAGUUAUAAAUACUGCAACCUGGGAGUCUGAGGAAG
Molecule: long non-coding RNA, 795 nt
Filed under: Fukomys damarensis (Damara mole-rat)
Lineage: Eukaryota; Metazoa; Chordata; Mammalia; Rodentia; Bathyergidae
Description: lncRNA (ENSFDAG00000026728.1)
Source: RNAcentral